UACAGAGGGUGCGAGCGUUAAUCGGAAUUACUGGGCGUAAAGCGUGCGUAGACGGCUAUCUAAGUCGGGUGUGAAAGCCCCGGGCUCAACCUGGGAAUUGCAUUCGAGACUGAAUAGCUAGGGUACGGUAGAGGGAAGUGGAAUUUCCGGUGUAGCGGUGAAAUGCGUAGAUAUCGGAAGGAACAUCAGUGGCGAAAGUGACUUCCUGGACCAGUACCGACGUUCAGGCACGAAAGCGUGGGGAGCAAACAGG
RNAcentral lists this ribosomal RNA (253 nucleotides) under uncultured bacterium. RNAcentral's name for it is "partial 16S ribosomal RNA". It matches the Rfam family "Bacterial small subunit ribosomal RNA", at positions 524 to 776 of the family's 1533-position model. The record is from RNAcentral.